CAUAUACCCGCUAGCAACAUCAUGUAGCAGGAGGAAGUGUAGUGUGCGGUUUUGAUUCCUUUCCAUGGAUGUGUCACCACUGGUAUCAUGCAGGCUUCGAGAUGCUGCAAGGCUUCAAGCUAACACCAGAUGCACCGCUUUGAAGGCAAAACCGUUCAUGCUGAGGUGGUGAUUUGGCGAUGCAGUUAUAGCUCUAGAUAUACUCAAGAGACGUGACAGUAACCAGGCAACAAUCAAAUCGAGUUAACUGGCUAAGGCCUCCUGCAAGAUCUCAUUUUUACGCAAACCAGCCUAAAGUUUGACACCAGAGUGACGAGAUCCACAUGAUGAAAUUGUUAGAGAAACUGAAUUUUCUUGCCCCUGCUUCCGGUCUCUGCCAGGAGAUUAAAGUCAGGGAAACAUUACAGGAGGCUGGAUAAUUGCCCCUGUGUCUCCAGCAGACAAAAGGCAACGCUCCGGCAAUUCCCUCGGUAAAUUGUCAAGAGAGACUCAAGGAUCCUUCAAGGCUGCAGCAAAUUGUACAGUGCUGUCUAACAAACUACCAAUCUCUGGAUAUUAUGAGGCUUCCAUAUAUCCUUGGCCGUAAUGACAGCUUGCACUGCUAUAAUGGAGUGCAGGCACAAGAUAGCUUUUGGCUGAGUGCUGGCUGCAGCCACCAACAGAUGAUUGCAACCUUUACUCCUGAGGACCACUUGAUCCGCAGACAGGGGGAAAAAAAAAAAAUCCGCAAGCAGUUAAUGAGUUGCCAUCCUUUCCUAGUGUUAAGGGUGUCUACAAAUUAACAGAGGCUUUUGUCAGGGCUCUCCUUUGCUCUCUCUCUCUUGCUCCCCCCUUGCCUCCUCUUGCCGCCACUUUCUCUCCUCAUCCUUGCGCCCUCCCCUCCAUCACGCCCUUCCUCCUGCUCUUCAAUUUUCUCUCUCUACCUGCCUGCUUCACGCUCCAGUAGCUCAGUGGCGGGAGCAGCGCUGUCUGGCUUUGGCUCUGAGCAGCAUUUAUUGUCAGCGCGGUUCAUGUUUAGAAUUAGCCAUUUAAUGAGAACAAAAGAAAUUAAUUGGUGGUUUAAGCCUAAUGAGACGUCUGUGAAAUUAACAGGCCUCAUCAAUUGAAACAAAUAAAA
Long non-coding RNA from Oreochromis aureus, 1117 nucleotides. RefSeq lists it as uncharacterized. The record is from RefSeq and is a predicted model, not a curated record. NCBI's taxonomy places the organism in Eukaryota, Metazoa, Chordata, Actinopteri, Cichliformes, Cichlidae. The transcript has 4 exons.